GUAAUUGCAUUUAAGGGCAGAUGGUGGAUGCCUUGGGAUAUCAAGACGAUGAAGGACGUGGCGUGACUGCGAUAAGCCUCGGGGAGGUGUCUAGCAACCGUUAAUCCGAGGAUUUCCGAAUGGGGAAACCUAAUCCUGUGUGAACAGGAUUGUCUCGCGCAAGCGAGUCGUGUACCUGGGGAAGUGAAUCAUCUCAGUACCCAGAGGAAAAGAAAUAUAUUCCCUUAGUAGCGGCGAGCGAAAAGGGAGGAGUCUAAACCUUUUAUCGCAAGAUAAGGGGGGUUGCAAGGGAAUAGCGUCGGAGCCUUACCCCAAGAAAGCAGUAUCGAUCGAUUGUUGGGGUAAAGCAUCUGAGGGAGAGCACAAGUUGGAGAUUGGUUAGGAGAACGAGUCUGGAAAGACCGGCGAAACAGGGUAAAAGCCCCGUAUCCGAAAACCUCUUCAUGCUCCUUGCUAUUUUACUUAAGUACCUUGGGGAAAGAACGCCCCGUGGGAAACAGGCCGUACUAACGGCCAAGGCUAAAUACUUGAUAUCACCGAUAGUGAACCAGUACCGUGAGGGAAAGGUGAAAAGUAGGGGGGUGACCCCGAUGAAAUAGAAUCUGAAACCAUUUUGCCCACAAGGAGUCGGAGCUCUGCCGCAAGGCGGAGUGACGGCGUAUUUCUUGCUAAACGAGCCAACGAGUUUACGUAUAUUGCAUGUCUAAGGGCGUUUGACGUCCGUAGGCGUAGGGAAACCGAGUGCGAAAUGCGCGUUUAUUGCAGUGUGCGUAAGACCCGAAGCCAAGCGAGCUUGCCAUGACCAGGGUGAAGUCCCGAGAAAUCGGGGCGGAGGCCCGAACCCGUGAGUUGUUCAACCCUCUGGGAUGAGUUGUGGCAAGAAGUGAAAAGCUAAUCGAGCUUGGUCAUAGCUGGUUCUCCCCGAAAUAGCUUUAGGGCUAGCGUCCGCUGUGAGUCUUGGCGGUAGAGCACUGAAAAGAAUAUUUUGGCGCAAGCCAGAUAUUCUUAUCAAACUUCGAAUGCCAGGAUUUUAAAGGCGGGCAGUCAGAACAUGGGCGCUAAGGUCCAUUGUUCCUAUGGGAAACAGCCCGAACCUUCAUCUAAGGUCCCUAAAUUAAGCUAAGUGCAAAUUGAAGAGGAAGUGGAAUUCCUUUGAUAGCUAGGAGGUUAGCUUAGAAGCAGCUAUCCUUUAAAAAGUGCGUAACAGCUUACUAGCUAAGGAGUUCUGCGCCGAAAAUCUAUAGGGGCUUAAGCUUAAUACCGAAGAUAAGGAUUCUUCGCCUUUUGGGCGAGGAGUGGUAGGGGAGCGUCCUCAUUGCAGUGAAGCCGGAACGUAAGUGACGGUGGAGCGAUGAGGAGUGAGACUGUUGGCAUGAGUAACCGCAAUGCAGAUGAAAGCUCUGCACACCGAAAACCCAAGGUUUCCUUGGCAACGAUAAUCGACCAAGGGUGAGGCGGACCUUAGGAAGUGCCGUAGGGUACUUUUGAUGGACAGCAGGUUAAUAUCCCUGCCCUUCCGUCCAUUCCAACGCAGUGACGCAGAGAAAGCGUCUUGAAGGAUUAUUGGAUUUCCUUACCUCGACGCAAGUCGGGGAUUCAAGACAAAUUUUUUGCCCAGAAAAGCUGCGAAGGAUUAUGUGGACGGGAUCCGUACCGCAAAACUGACACAGGUGGGUUGGCGCAAGAAUGCCAAGGUGAACGGGUGAAAGCUCCUGAAGGAACUAAGCAAAAAAGCGAUCGUAAGUUCGCGAUAAGAUCUGCCCAUGCCAUAGCUGGCAUGGGCCGCAGCGACUGUAUCCCUAGCGACUGUUUACCAAAAACACAGGUCCGUGCUUAACUCGAAAGAGGAUGUAUACGGGCCGACACCUGACCAGUGCUGGAGUGUUAAAUCUGGGGGUUCUUGCCGCAAGGUGAGAGCUCACCGGCCUAAGCCCCAGUGAACGUCCGCGGUAACUAUAACCGUGUUAAAGUAGCGUAGCCCCUUGCCAGGUAAGUUCUGGCCCGCAUGAAAGGUGUCACGACUUGGGAACUGUCUCCAGGAGUUGCCCGGUGAAAAUGCAAUACCGGUGAAGAUGCCGGUUACCUGCGGCUAGACGGAAAGACCCCGGGAGCUUUACUGUAGCUUCCUAUUGUCUUAUGUUCUUGGAUGCGUAGCGUAGUGGGUAGGAUUUGAAGUUCGCCUCUCGGGGCGGAUGGAUCCGACAAUGAAACACCCAUCUUCUGAGGAGAUAAGACUAACCCCGAUUUAUUCGGGAGACCGUGGGAAGUGGGCAGUUUAAGUGGGGUGCUUGCCUCCCAAAAUGUAACGGAGGCGUUUAUAAGGUUGGCUAGCUCCGGAUGGAAAUCGGAGUGGUCGUGCAAAGGCACAAGCCAGCUUAACUGCGAGACGGAUAGGUCGAGCAGAUGGGAAACCAGAACUUAGUGAACCGAUGUGAGCUCAUUAGGAAGCUCAAAGAUCAACAGACAAAAGUUACCCCGGGGAUAACAGGCUAGUGGAGCCCACGAGUCCAUAUCUACGGCUCCGUUCGGCACAUCGAUGUCGGCUGACCGCAUCCUGGCGGUGGAGAAGCUGCCAAGGGUUGGGCUGUUCGCCCAUUAAAGCGGUACCUGAGUUGGGUUCAAACCGUCAAAAAAUGAACCUUUAACAUCGAUGAACACACGGCGGCUUUCACGAGCAAUCGUGAAUGUCAAAUCGACUCAUAUCGGUGGAGUCCAAUAAACUUCCCAAUCUGGAUUUAUUGGAGAAUACCGAGGGAAGUCAUCCUGAGAAUUAUCGAAGGAUUGACCCUGUAGAGACUACACGUCGAUCUCCUUUCAAGAGAAAGGAUGGUGGUAUAGUCCAAGCACUUAGUAAUAAGUGGUGUUAGCGUGAGACAGGUUGGUCCCUAUCUACCGUAGGCGCCGAGGCUUGAGGGGAGUCUUUCCUAGUACGAGAGGACCGGAAAGAACUAACCUCUGGUGUACCAGUUGUCCUGCCAAGGGCACCGCUGGGUAGCUAAGUUAGGACGGGAUAAGAGCUGAAAGCAUCUAAGCUCGAAGCCUACCCCAAGAUGAGGCCUUUUUAAGACCCCUCGGAGACCACGAGGUUGAUAGGCUCCAGGUGUAAGUCCCGCAAGGGAUUGAGCCGAGGAGUACUAAUGGUCAUUCAGCAAUUACAA
RNAcentral lists this ribosomal RNA (3158 nucleotides) under Candidatus Wildermuthbacteria bacterium. RNAcentral describes it as "23S ribosomal RNA". It matches the Rfam family "Bacterial large subunit ribosomal RNA". The record is from RNAcentral. Lineage: Bacteria; Candidatus Wildermuthiibacteriota.